UAUUUAUUAGAUAAAAAACCAAUGCCCUUCGGGGCUCCUUGGUGAAUCAUAAUAACUUAACGAAUCGCAUGGCCUUGCGCCGGCGAUGGUUCAUUCAAAUUUCUGCCCUAUCAACUUUCGGUGGUAGGGUAGUGGCCUACCAUGGUAUCAACGGGUAACGGGGAAUUAGGGUUCGACUCCCGAGAGGGAGCCUGAGAAACGGCUACCACAUCCAAGGAAGGCAGCAGGCGCGCAAAUUACCCAAUCCCGACACGGGGAGGUAGUGACAAUAAAUACUGAUACAGGGCUCUUUUGGGUCUUGUAAUUGGAAUGAGUACAAUUUAAAUCCCUUAACGAGGAACAAUUGGAGGGCAAGUCUGGUGCCAGCAGCCGCGGUAAUUCCAGCUCCAAUAGCGUAUAUUAAAGUUGUUGCAGUUAAAAAGCUCGUAGUUGAACCUUGGGCCUGGCUGGCCGGUCCGCCUCACCGCGUGUACUGGUCCGGCCGGGCCUUUCCUUCUGGGGAACCUCGUGCCCUUCACUGGGCGUGUUGGGGAACCAGGACUUUUACUUUGAAAAAAUUAGAGUGUUCAAAGCAGG
This 576-nucleotide ribosomal RNA is filed under the name uncultured eukaryote. Its description in RNAcentral is "SSU rRNA". It matches the Rfam family "Eukaryotic small subunit ribosomal RNA", at positions 203 to 784 of the family's 1831-position model. The record is from RNAcentral.